Molecule: long non-coding RNA, 224 nt
Filed under: Mytilus galloprovincialis (Mediterranean mussel)
Lineage: Eukaryota; Metazoa; Mollusca; Bivalvia; Mytilida; Mytilidae
Source: RNAcentral
GAAAUGCGCAUCUGGUGCAAGAAAAUUGGUACCGUUAAUUUUAUUAUAGCAUCUCCUUUAUUUUCAGCCACGUCAUAGAUGUUUAAUGAUUGACCUUGAAGUAAACAGGUAAAGAGAUAUUCAAGAUUCGCAUUGUCUAUUUCUGGAUGCCCUAUUGUAACUUUUCCAAGAUGCGUAAGGUUUGCAUAUAGUUUUCUAUUUUGAUACUAGUACUGGUUAAAGAC